AAGACUUUAAGUUAACUUAAACUGUAAGCCUUCAAAGCUUUUAAUGGGACUACCCAAGUCUUG
Molecule: transfer RNA, 63 nt
Filed under: Chloeia sp. r EEE-2022
Lineage: Eukaryota; Metazoa; Annelida; Polychaeta; Eunicida; Amphinomidae
Description: tRNA-Trp
Source: RNAcentral